GCUUGUUUGAACCGCAUGGUUCAAACAUAAAAGGUGGCUUCGGCUACCACUUACAGAUGGACCCGCGGCGCAUUAGCUAGUUGGUGAGGUAAUGGCUCACCAAGGCAACGAUGCGUAGCCGACCUGAGAGGGUGAUCGGCCACACUGGGACUGAGACACGGCCCAGACUCCUACGGGAGGCAGCAGUAGGGAAUCUUCCGCAAUGGACGAAAGUCUGACGGAGCAACGCCGCGUGAGUGAUGAAGGUUUUCGGAUCGUAAAGCUCUGUUGUUAGGGAAGAACAAGUACCGUUCGAAUAGGGCGGUACCUUGACGGAACCUAACCAGAAAGCCACGGCUAACUACGUGCCAGCAGCCGCGGUAAUACGUAGGUGGCAAGCGUUGUCCGGAAUUAUUGGGCGUAAAGGGCUCGCAGGCGGUUUCUUAAGUCUGAUGUGAAAGCCCCCGGCUCAACCGGGGAGGGUCAUUGGAAACUGGGGAACUUGAGUGCAGAAGAGGAGAGUGGAAUUCCACGUGUAGCGGUGAAAUGCGUAGAGAUGUGGAGGAACACCAGUGGCGAAGGCGACUCUCUGGUCUGUAACUGACGCUGAGGAGCGAAAGCGUGGGGAGCGAACAGGAUUAGAUACCGCUGGUAGUCCACGCCGUAAACGAUGAGUGCUAAGUGUUAGG
This 668-nucleotide ribosomal RNA is filed under the name Bacillus sp. Mc2Re-2. Its description in RNAcentral is "bacterial SSU rRNA". It matches the Rfam family "Bacterial small subunit ribosomal RNA", at positions 173 to 827 of the family's 1533-position model. The record is from RNAcentral. Lineage: Bacteria; Bacillati; Bacillota; Bacilli; Caryophanales; Bacillaceae.